Molecule: long non-coding RNA, 712 nt
Organism: Triticum dicoccoides
Lineage: Eukaryota; Viridiplantae; Streptophyta; Magnoliopsida; Poales; Poaceae
Exons: 2
Source: RefSeq, a predicted model, not a curated record
CCACUCCAUGACCUCACCCGCAAGCUUCUCAGCGAGCUCCUCCGCCGGCCGCACGUCAUAUUCCACUGGUACGGCGGCGGCAGCGCAAUCGCCCAUGCCAUAUCGGCAGGGUCCGCUACAAUACGAGCCCCAAAACUUGCGCGGCUGCAGAGUGGAAGCACCCGGAUGGAUUUCCUGGAGUGUGAAGAACCCAGGGCGCAGGUGCUACAAUUGCGGAAAUCGAAGGGUGUGGACUGCAGGUUCUUUGAGUGGCAUGACGAUCCAAAUACUCCAUUUCUGAAUUAGCUGGUCGGUGACUUGCUUGAUACUGUGUAUCAUCUGAAAAAAGAGAAGACACAGUUGGCAGAAUCUCGAAUCUAAGUUGAAGCUCGCAUGGAUAAGGCUGUAGAUGUGGAGAUGGGCAUGAGGUCUUUUGUGCAUGAGAUGCAGUUCAAGCAAGCAGCAGAAGCAGAAGAAGAAAUGCAUAGGAAAUUGGAAAGAUUUAGAAAGAUGUGGUAGCAUCUUGUAAUCUGCUUGGUGGUUGCUUUCUUCUGUUUUGUUAUGAAAUGAAUUGGUACUGUAAUGUGGCAUGAUCUUUUGAAAGAUUUAGAGAGACGUGGCAGUAUGUUGAGAAAGAUGUGCCAGUAUGUUCAGACAUGUUUGUAUGUGACUGUAGACCAACGAAUUAUGUUCAGUACUGGCUUACAAAGUACAAAUAUUUUGCUAUCUGAUU